UAGGGAAUCUUCCACAAUGGGCGCAAGCCUGAUGGAGCAACACCGCGUGAGUGAAGAAGGGUUUCGGCUCGUAAAGCUCUGUUGUUGGAGAAGAACGUGCGUGAGAGUAACUGUUCACGCAGUGACGGUAUCCAACCAGAAAGUCACGGCUAACUACGUGCCAGCAGCCGCGGUAAUACGUAGGUGGCAAGCGUUAUCCGGAUUUAUUGGGCGUGAAGCGAGCGCAGGCGGUUGCUUAGGUCUGAUGUGAAAGCCUUCGGCUUAACCGAAGAAGUGCAUCGGAAACCGGGCGACUUGAGUGCAGAAGAGGACAGUGGAACUCCAUGUGUAGCGGUGGAAUGCGUAGAUAUAUGGAAGAACACCAGUGGCGAAGGCGGCUGUCUGGUCUGCAACUGACGCUGAGGCUCGAAAGCAUGGGUAGCGAACAGG
RNAcentral lists this ribosomal RNA (429 nucleotides) under uncultured Lactobacillus sp. RNAcentral describes it as "bacterial SSU rRNA". It matches the Rfam family "Bacterial small subunit ribosomal RNA", at positions 355 to 776 of the family's 1533-position model. Lineage: Bacteria; Bacillati; Bacillota; Bacilli; Lactobacillales; Lactobacillaceae. The record is from RNAcentral.